Molecule: ribosomal RNA, 475 nt
Filed under: uncultured organism
Description: partial 16S ribosomal RNA
Rfam family: Bacterial small subunit ribosomal RNA
Source: RNAcentral
ACUCCUACGGGAGGCAGCAGUGGGGAAUAUUGCACAAUGGGCGCAAGCCUGAUGCAGCCAUGCCGCGUGUAUGAAGAAGGCCUUCGGGUUGUAAAGUACUUUCAGCGGGGAGGAAGGCGAUAAGGUUAAUAACCUUGUCGAUUGACGUUACCCGCAGAAGAAGCACCGGCUAACUCCGUGCCAGCAGCCGCGGUAAUACGGAGGGUGCAAGCGUUAAUCGGAAUUACUGGGCGUAAAGCGCACGCAGGCGGUCUGUCAAGUCGGAUGUGAAAUCCCCGGGCUCAACCUGGGAACUGCAUUCGAAAAUGGCAGGCUAGAGUCUUGUAGAGGGGGGUAGAAUUCCAGGUGUAGCGGUGAAAUGCGUAGAGAUCUGGAGGAAUAACGGUGGCGGAGGCGGCCCCCUGGACAAAGACUGACGCUCAGGUGCGAAAGCGUGGGGAGCAAACAGGAUUAGAAACCCGGGUAGUCCCAUGAU